UUAAUAACACUUUAUUAUUAAUAAAAAAAUUUGACCGAAGUUGCGCAAACGUAUGCCUCGAUUUAUUUUACAAAUCGUAAUUAUGUCACGCGAACAUGUACACAAUCACAAUUAUAGAUUAAAUCACUCCUAAAGCAAACUACGAUUUAUGGAUGAAUUGGUGAUUGUGAGCAAAGAGGCCUGAAUUCAUGGGGUACUUUUACUAAGGAGUUUCAUUGCACUCGACCAACCCAAUGCCUAAGCGUGUAAGCAAUUAAAUCAAUAAUGGGCUAGGCCUUUACCAACCCAUAUGGCCCAUUCAAGCAUUCAAGAUAAAGCAAAAUGGAAAUCCCCAAACGAGUAAGCAUAUAAGUCCCUGAGAGAAAACAAUUUAACAUGAAAAGGAUAAAUAAUGAGAUAAGAUAAAGUGAAAAGCAGCAGAACCCCUAAAGACUGAUCUGUGUAAAUUCCCCUACAUUAUCAUUUAUGCUUGAGUGGUUCUUUUGGAAUUUCUCCUAAACCAAUGUUCAAAUACAUUAAGAAUUACACAUAUACAGUCUUUCACACCAGAAACAUUUGAACAUCAAUUGUUCACAAAGUUAGGCUAAUAGUUUAGGCAUUCAAAGUUAGACAAACACUCAAGGAAUGUUGGCCACCUAUUUCAUUUUUUGAUGACAUAAAAGUUGGAAUUCUUAGUUAACGACUGACUUAUUUUCAAUUAGGACACUCCCAGCAAAGAUGGAAACAAUGAAUCAACAUGCGACUCCAAAACAUGCAUACUUACAUACUUAUUCUCAUUAAUCAAACAAUAUGCAUGACAUGAAUGAUUAACCUCAAUCGAUUUGCAUUAAUUAUACUAAUGACAUGCUUGAAAGACAUUUCUAGGAGAGAUCAAUCCAUAUUAUCUAACAGUGGCUAGGAAAGCAUAACAAAACUAACAUGUGCAUUAUAAAGAGACAUGGAACACAAAGGGCAAACAAGCUCGCUUAAAGCUUGACUCAAUAACACCAAUGAAUCACUGACAAUAGGAGAACAAAAAUCACUCAAUCCAGGAAAAUCAUGAGGAACACCAGCCCAUGGAAAUUCACAUUUAAUUUCUUUAACUAGCUAACAAAGGUACUGUCUCAAUACUAAAUCGAAAAUAUCCAACAUGAACUCUGAUCGAAUGAAAUGAAGCCUCAAGGAGACAUUUACAUAUAUUUCAACAAAAGCAUGGUUUUAUUUGUGAACAUGUUUCAAAAAGUAUGAUAAAAAAAAGUCCAAACUCAGAACUCUAAACCUUAAACAGAAAUGAAACCAAAGAAACAUGCUACUCUAAUGGCUAAAAGCCUUUGACUACUUAAUCGUAAGCAAAAAAAAACAUUGACAAAUCAACUACCGAUUGACACGCUGAAUACACAGUUUCAUCGCAAUUGGUUCUGACACUCCAAUAUUAAUCUGACUGGACCACACAAGGAUCCCAAACAGUAAACAAAUUCACAAAAAAGGAUAAAAAAGAAGAAAUUAGCCAGAUGCACAUGAAGUGAUCAGUAACAACUUAACAAACUGCAUUAAAAUAAAGAGGAAAUAACAGACCUGUUGAUAAAGAAUUACUUUUAAUAGAAUCAGAAGAAACAAAUGAGUAUAGAUUCAACGGCCAACUCCAAAUCGUGAAAUCACCGCAGAAAUCGACCUCGAACAGCAGCGGACUUAACAACUUCCCAAAUGAAUUUCAUUNNNN
RNAcentral lists this long non-coding RNA (1699 nucleotides) under Nicotiana tabacum (common tobacco). Its description in RNAcentral is "long non-coding RNA (NTAB_LNC009206)". The record is from RNAcentral. Lineage: Eukaryota; Viridiplantae; Streptophyta; Magnoliopsida; Solanales; Solanaceae.